This is a long non-coding RNA of Gallus gallus (chicken), 10219 nucleotides long. The record is from Ensembl. Lineage: Eukaryota; Metazoa; Chordata; Aves; Galliformes; Phasianidae.
CCGCCGCCGACGGUCCCGCACCGCUUCCGGCAGCGCUACGGCGCCACCUGGCGGCGGAAUCGGGCGGGCGGAGCGGGGAUCACCGCGCUUCUGGUCUCCAGAGCCAAGGAAAGAGCAGCCAUCGGCACUCACGAGACUCUUAUUUUGCCUUGCCCGGAGUAACAGCGCCUGACCGUUUCCAGAAGUUUGUCCUCGUGUUUUCAUGGCCGUGCCGUGGGAGGACUGCACGCAGCUAUAAUUCUUCAGGAUUCUGUCACAGAGUCAUAGAAUCAUUGAGGUUGGAAAAGACCACGAAGAUCAACUACCCCAACCAUCAGUCCGUCAACCUCACCAUGCCCACUGACCACGUCCCUCAGUGCCACAUCCACACUGUUCUUCAACACCUCCAGUGAUGGUGACUGCACCACCUCCCUGGGCAGCCUGUGCCACUGCAGCACCGCUCUUGCUGAUAAGAACGUUUUUCCUAAUAUCCAACCUGAACCUCCUCUGGCUCAACUUGAUGUCAUUACCUCUGGCUCUAUCACUGUUACCUGGGAAAAGAGGCCAACCCCCACCUCACCGCAUCCUCCUUUCAGGUCACUGUAGAGAGUGAUGAGGUCUCCCCUGAGCUCCUCUUCUUCAUACUGAACAACCUCAGCUCCCUCAGCAGCUUCUCAUGAGACUUGUGCUCCAGACCCUUCACAGCUCCAUUGCCCUUCUCCUGACAGUUCAGGGCCUCAAUGUUUUAUUGGAAAGGUAAAAAAAUAUAUAUAUUCUCAGUUACCUUCAGAGCUUCACAGGUGACAGUGCUGUGCACCACAUCCUUGCUGCAUGUUAUAAAGGUUAUUAAAUUUACUGUGCCCUCCAUGGUAACUCACUCUGUUAGUGUCAGUAUGAAGAAGCUUCCAGCCAAGGUUUCAUCACCUGUUGUGCACUGCCAACAUUUUCUCCUCAUAAGUGUGGUCUUCCAUCAGUGUGCCAAAGUACCGCCCUGGAGGAAAAUAAUCUUUAGUGACUUGCUGGUACUUCCCUCACCUCUACCACAUGUUCAAGCAUAGAGCUAUUAAUGCUGGUAGGGAACACCUCCCUGACACUCACUGCUGUCACAUUAUGACAGUGGAAGUGAUGGUCUGAGUUUCUGGGUGAACAAACUGAGGUUUGCCUUGAGAAUUCAGCUAUGUGUGCAGGUUAUGAAAACAAAAACAUUCAUUCUUGUAAAUAAUAAAGACAUAGAUACAGAAAUUGACUAAAAUGUGCUUAAGAUAUCAAGCUGGGAGACAGAACAUCGAAGUCAAGUAGAAUAUAAUUCAAGAAAAACUGUAUGACUUCAAGGCCUGAAAUAAUAAUUAGUAGAGAGUGAGAGGUGGUGCAUUUACACAGAGUGCUACAUAUUCCCAUGUAACACUAAUGUGAUAAAACCAUUAAGAGCCAAGUAAUCUUCAUAGAAAUUCGUAAGGUAUCAGCCAAGGUAUUCCUGUAGAUAAAUGGAUGUAAAUUGUACAGGUCAUGUACAAAUGAUGAUGAAAUUGUGUCUGUCUUCAUAAAAUACUCAUGUUCAAGUAAUAUACAUCUAAACUGGAACAUAUGUACAAAAAGGAACAAUAAGACCCAGCCUUCUGAUGAGACACUAAAAGGGUUCCGUGUGUUCACAUUAUAUGAACGGAGAUCAGAAUGUAACUUAAACUGAAUUCUGUGGUGUCUCCACAUGAAAGAGAAAGAAAAACAUAGAAAGAAAAAGAAUAAAAGAGAAAAAUGAAUAAAAAAAGGAAAAGAAACCAGGAGAUGUGUACACAUUCAAAAAUCAGACAUUGGGUCAGGGACCUUACAACUUUUCAUCUGGCUUUAUUAGCAUGUCUCUAGCAGGGCAGAGCUUGGGACAAAUUCCUUUUCACAUUUUAUCUAAUUCAAUGCUUAGAUGGUUUUUCUUCCAGGUAACUAUCUUCUUAUUUUUGUCCAAGGAUGGGUUACAUAACUUUCUUAAUAUUCCCCAAUUGCUCUACAAGAAGAUUAACCUAUAUAUUCUGCUUGGAGCAAUAAAUUCCACUAGGUGUCAGGGUAACUAAAAAUUACAGGCUGCAAUUAUAAUUAAGCAUAUACUUAAGGGCCUUGCCAAAUCACUACCUGUGUAAACCCAUGGACUCUUAGAAUAAUCUAGAUAACUGUACUUGUAUUUGUACUAGCUUGAAGAUGCAUGUAGCAACACUUAAAGCAAAGUCACACCUUUCAUUGAAUAUGAAGUAAUCUGACUAAAAGUCAAAUAAUUAUAAAGCAUAUUUCCUCUGGUUUCUGAUUUUUCUGCAAGUUGCCUUCACCAUCUUCUAUAUCUUAAAUCUCAGCAUGCUCUCUGAAGUCUAUAGUUAACUCUUCUUUUCAAGAUAGGGGUAAGACCUAUUUUCAAAUGAAAGUACUUAUUGGUUCUUUUGAAUGAGACUGAAGAUCCUGUAAGCCUCGAGCUGUUGCUAUUCUUCCUCUCCUACCCUAGGAAAAUAGGGUACUGCUCACCCUUUUGUUCUCUUAGAAAAGCUGAAGUAUUGUGGAGUGAUUUUUCCUCAAAUCUUUACAUUUUUAUUUACUGGAAAGGGAGAAGAGUAAGAGCUUAUCAUGUGAGGCAAUAACGUAAUUAUCUGUUUUGAGACAGGACCAAGAGCAAUCAACUUAAACGCUUAAGCAUCUCUGUUAGCCAAGAAUAAUAUUCACUGCACACUCCUCAAAUCUUGCUCUAAAGAAAAGAGAAUUAACAUCCUCAAAGGCUUUCAGUGUUCAUCGCUGUACAGUCUGUUCUGCAAGCUUGGAUAUAUCUUGGAGCGUCUUUGUGAAGUUGUGUUAUCAAGCACAAAGGCAGAGAUAAAACUCUGCAAGCUUUAUGCGUUCUACUUUAGGACUAAUUUUUCACAGUACAGGAGCUAAGCAGCAAUACUCUGAAGGCUCAGCAUUUUGCUCUUAGACGCUUCAUCUACAUUUGUGAAUGCUCAGAACUUCUGAGCAGUGUGCCAAGUCAGACAACAAAAAUAAAGUACAGAAUGGUGAUGACUUACCCAUGGAAAGUUUGUGUGAAGUGAUUUGGCCAACAUUGUGUAAGUUGUGCAUGAUAGGCUAAUUUAUAUUCGCCUAUUGUAAUUAGGCAUCCAUUCCUGGCCCACUCACAACAGGUCUCUUGCAAAAGAAAUGUGAAAGAUCUGCACAGUUGUGAACGGGUUCACCCAACGCAAUUGAAGGAUGGAGGGGAGAAAAAGUGACCAGACAUUUCAGCUUUAACUCAGUUGUAAUGCUCAGGAAGCCUUUAACUUCUGAGUUUCUGCAUUCUUAACAAUGUUUCAAUGUAUGUACUUUGUACAAAUAUUUUAUUUCCUACAUAAAACUACAUUGUUAUACAGAAUAGCAGUCGACUACACAAAACAUAGAACAGACGUCAUUCCACCUGCAGCCCUCCUCUACAGCUCCUCACCAAAGCCUAUUAAGGUUUUUCUCUGCUGCAGUUGCAUGUUCAUCUACUAUGUUAACAUACUUAAGGACUUGCUCCUCUAGGAAGUCAUUUCUUUUCCGAUGCUCCUGGGAACCAACAGAGGAUGUUUUAGAGGGGUAGGGCCUUAACAGCAGUCAAAUCAUACUGGUGAAUUUGUCAGUACUUUGAAGAGCUGUAUUAUUACUUUCUCUGGAAAGGAGAUGAGAGACAACAGUAGGGUGUUCUAGGACUUCUAUGUCCUUCCCCCAAAAUACAUGUUAAUAUACUAAUAUACUAAAUUUAAUCAUCUAUGCUUCUGAAGCCCUCUUUAAAGCAGGAACCUCGGGCAUAUUGGGAUAAGUAGUUCAGUACAGCACAGUGAAUUUGUUAGCUUUACUAUCUAUCAAUACAGUGAUUAAAUCAUCAUCAGUCACUCAGGACAUCUUGAAUGGACUAUCAUCUGCUCUCCAGAAUUUAGGCUUUUAUUAAAGCGAAAAUCACCUGUAAAGUUUUGGAUUCAUUCACAGUAAAACCCCUCAUAACAACUGAGAACUUGGUCAUUUAAACUGGAAGACGGAAGCUUUAGAUGUAUUAGAAAGAAAUUCUCUCCUGUGAGGGUGGUGAGACACUGGAACAGGUUGCCCAGGGAGGUUGUGGUUGCCCUCUCCCUUGAGGCAGUCAAGGCCAGGCUGGACGGGGCUUUGAGCAGCCUGGUCUAGAGGGAGGUGUCCCUGCCUAUAGCAGAGGGUUGGACCUACAUGAUCUUAAAAGUCCCUUCCAACCCAAACCAUUCUAUGAUUGUAUAACACAACAGAGUAAAAUAACAGUCACCAGUCUGUAUUCUCUUGUUCAGAAGAAUCCUGUUUUGUCUCACUGUUUACAGAGAUCAUAGAAUCAUAGAAUCAUGGAAUGGCCUGGGUUGAAAAGGACCACAAUGAUCAUGUAGUUUCAACCCCCUGCUAUGUGCAGGGUCGCCAACCACCAGACCAGGCUGCCCAGAGCCACAUCCAGCCUGGCCUUGAAUGCCUCCAGGGAUGGGACAUCCAUAGCCUCCUUGGGCAACCUGUUCCAGUGUGUCACCACCCUCUGUGUGAAAAACUUCCUCCUAGUAUCUAACCUAAACCUCCCCUCUCUCAGUUUAAGACCAUCCCCCCUUGUCCUAUCACUAUCCACCCUCAUAAACAGCCACUCCCCUUCCUGUUUACAUGCUCUCUUCAAGUACUGGAAGGCCACAAUGAGGUCUCCCCAGAGCCUUCUCUUCUCCAAGCUAAACAAUCCCAGUUCCCUCAACCUUUCCUCAUAGGAGAGGUGCUCCAGCCCUUUGAUAUCUUAGUGGCCCUCCUCUGGACCCGCUCCAAGAGCUCUAUAUCCGUCCUGUACUCAGGGAGAUCUUUGUCUUUGAUAAGACUCUCUCCCACAGAGAUCACCCCCCCUCCCCAAGAGGUCAGCGUCAGUUUCUGGAAGAUGAUUUUAGACCCUGAUGUUGUACAUUGUAGUGAAUUAUCUCUAAAUUAGUUUGUAGCUCCAUGAGUGUAUGCACUCUCAUUAACUGCACCCAGUGAGAUUUCAUUCAGUACUGAAAAAAAAAAAAGAAAGUUUAAAUUUGAAAAUCCUGCUGAGGAGUGACUGCAUUGCUCCCUACAGCUACCUGAAAAGACACUGCAGUGAGGAGGGUGUUGAUCUCUUUUCUCAGCUGGCAAGUAAUACUGAUGUUAUUGCACUUCUACGGAACAGGAGCAGUUCUCCUAUUUUUAUUUCAUAUUCUUUCUGAUCUCAUUAGAGAUGCUUGGAAAGGAAAGAGUCUUGUGUUGUGCCAGAAAAGUUUUAGACUGCAUAUCAGGAAGAAUUUCUUCAUGGAGAAGGCAUUGGAGUAGGCUGCACUGGGAAAAAAAAAAGAAAUGGAGUUGUCAUCCUUGGAGUCUCAUCAGAGUUGCUAAGGAGCACAAAUCUUUGUAACUGAAGAGCCAUGGAGGACACUGGCAGAGGCCGAAUAAGGAUGAAGAACACUGUUACAACUGGGGAAAAAGAAAAAAAAAAUCUCAAAAGGGAUCAGCCAAAAUAUUUAGGUUUUGUAAAAUUACAUUUUGUUUGUUAGAUUUGUAUCAACUUGAAACAAACAGUUCAGUCAUAAAGAGGUUUCACAACGUUACCCUGAAGCAUUUGUAACUGAUCUCUGGGGCUAUUUUAAAGGUUGGUGUCAUGGAACUCAGAAGAAAGUUUAUGGAAGGGGCAAACACUAAGGCCAACUAUGUGCUGAGUAAGCUUGGUAUAAACAGGAAGAGAUAGUUGAAAAUCCCAGAUUUAGCAAUAUGCUGUGGUAGAGACAGACCAAUCAACAUCCUGAAACUGAUCAGUGAUCUCAGUUCUGGAAAAUCUAGUUUAAUGUAUGAAAAUAAGAUCUGCUUUUUGAGGGAAAAAAAAAAAAAAAAAAGAAAAGAAGAAGAAGAACAAUAUUUUUAAUAGACUUUUCUAGCACCAACCAAAUCCACUCAGUUUAGAAUCUGUUUUCUUUCAUUCCUUUGCAUCCUGGCUGAAAGUAAGGUGAUGAAUUUCAUGACUUCCUUUCCUCCUCAGCAAACAACUGUGUUCUAAGUCAUAGUCACUUACUGUGUCCUACUAAGAAACCUUCAAAAGCACUUCUCUCAGAUGACAAAGCUGUGUAAAAAGCUACCAUUUUAUUUUGAAUGAUUGCCUUUCCCCUGAAAACAUGUUCUGUUUUUUGUUUGUUUGUUUGUUUGUUUGUUUUGUUUUCCCCCUAAAAAUGCAGUGUUAAAUUAAAAUGAUAGCUACAAAUUCACACACUACCGGCUUCAGGAUGUUGACUACUUCAUUCAGAGCACAAAACCACCGCAGAAUGACUCAUCUGCAGCUAAAUAAUCUCUCUCUCUUGUCACUGGUAGCCCACAGCAGUCUGCAGCUUGUGCUUUCCGGAAGCUAAGAUUUACCCCAUUAAUGCCUUUGUUUUGAAAACCAUCACUUUUAAAGCUAUACAACAAAAAUAGGGAGUAAGUGAAUUAAAAACAUACCUUUUGAGAUCUAAUCUUCUCCAGAAAUUCUGGACUAAAGUUUACUCAAUCUCAGUCUUGUUGGGAGAUAUCAGUCCAAAUCUGACUACUCUCAGAUAGAAAACUAUACAGCUGUAACUCAAGAGUUACCUCUCCUACUUCUUAAUGGACUUUGCAAUAGUUUUGACAUGUCUGCUCUUUUUUGAGAGUGGAGAAGACUUUAUCUGUUUUGUGGUUAGACAUCUGGUUAGAUAUAGCAGUCUAGCUAACCAUAUAGGAAACCAAAACAAACUGAGCAAUAUAAAGUAUAUUUUCUCAUCUUCGGUAGUACCUGACAACUAUGUUGAAACAUACUGCUUGUCUGAAAUAUUAAUGCAAUAUCAUAAAUCCCUCACAGCAUAACUGAUUGCAGAUUGCUGUUUUUAUUGCCAUUCCUGAAUAUAUAUCACAUGUGAGAAUAGAUUAUACGUGCUUCUGUUACUGAGAAGGUUGCAGAACUUUGACAUGUGACUAAGAAUGAAGGGAAGAGGUACCACAAGCCAACCUGAACCCUUCAUAAAGCCUUCUGCAGAAGUCACAGGUAGUGUUUCCAAUUCCUCCUGUAAAUGUCCAAUUGUGGCAGAACCUAUGUCUGGCAACUUCUUUGCUUUUUCCAGCCAUUAACAUCUUUACCAUAGUGCUGCCCAGCUGCCACAUAACUACUGCACCUUCUUCACCCUAUUUAACCACCCACUGCUUUUCUUUAAGCAACAAACUUCCUCUUCUCCCUCUGUUCCCUGGGAAGAUGUAGUUUUGCUUAGGAGCAGCCCUAAGUCUGUGAAUUCCAAAGGAUAUGUUGUUACAGAGGAUCUCUCUAGAUAUCUGGAUCUAGUUACUUGUAUAUAAGCCCCAGAAAUAAUCUCUAAAUUCAAAUUAUAAGGCCUUGUUUUUGUAUUAUAAACGUUCUCCUCUCGCAGAUGUUUUAGAGCUUUUUGUUUCUCUUUUACACUGGAAACACUCUCAAGUUUAAGGAAAAGGUGAAACCACAAGGAGCUAUAAGUAUUUAUAUAUGUAUAUAUAUCUAAUUGUGUUCCCAAUUUUAUUUGGGGCUUUUGAAUGUCUGUGCAUUACAGCCAGAGGAUGCCUGGGACAGAUUUUUUACUCACAUUUAAAAAGUACAUAUGAUGUCAGAGAAAAAUCACUUGGUCUUGCUGUAGUGUUUGCUAAAGGAUUGUCAGGUGUUGGUAAUAAUUUUUAAGCAUUCAACGAUCAAGGCUGCUGAAAUACUAACAGUUUUAUUCCUUGUGCUUCUGUAUAGCAAAAAAAAACAGAUUUUGAAAAUGAACCAAAGUACUGUGCUUCUCUUUUGUUCAAGCUGCAGACUUCCAUUGCUGUCGUGUUCUCAUUUCACUUCUCUUCCCUCUUCCAGUAAGUUCUUUACCAGAUUAGGGAAGAAGAAGCUACUGUAACAAUUCUCCACAGAAUCUGUCUGAAAACUAACCAAAGGUAAUGGAGACCAACCUAUCCAGGAAGGGAGUGCUUUCUAAGAAGGUCUUUUGUGUUCCACAUCACUUUACAGCAAAUGAUCUUGAAAUUAAAAAUUGCAGACAGCAUUUUCUCAUUUUUAUUUAGAUCUCCUUCAGAAUCUAAGUUCAGCUAUGCUUCUUGCACACCCUUAUUUUUAAAUAACUUUCUUGUAUAUGCAACUUACACGAUUUAUUUAGGUUUCUGUUUAUGAGCAAUGUAAAAACAGGGGAAUGGGACAUAUUCUGAACUUCUGUCUUCUUCUUUGACUUAUUUAACUGCCAUAACCUAAAUCUUUUGAGCUAGAGAUCACUCUGAUGUCUACUACUUGCCCAAACACACUGCUUUCCCAAGAACGGCCCUUAAGAGCACAGCAGCUGUGCAUGCAGACUUCUCAGGCAGCAUGGAGGUUCAGAUCACAAAGUGGAAGGACUGAAAGAAAUCAGUAUCAAGGCCAUAUUGAUGGAACAAAGACCAUAGCAGCAUCUAUUUCAGCUCCUCUCCGAGGAAACGAGGACUAUUUACAAGCCAGUCCAAAUCCUUCUCAGCCCCUUUGUUUAAAUACUAGAAUUGAUUCAGAAGACAAAAAAUGGUCUGUGUUUGACAGACACAAAUACCAGAGAAGUGAAGCAUGCAAAUAUUCAACACCCUUUUUUUUUAUCAAUAGUCUGAGUUAAAUGCUUAUGUAGCUAGAAAAUGUGACUGCCCAGCUGUAGCUUCAGAGUCUGGCCUUUCAAACCAGCCCUUCCACCCAAGUUAGUUCUAGCUAUGCAUAUUUCUGCUAGAAAGAGAAUGCCUGCCAGUGACAAAUAAAUAGUGUUCAUAUCAACAGUUCAAAGAAGUCCAUGGAGUACACACCCACAAGACAGUAGGUGUACAUUCAAGUAAUAAGCACAUUUUGGGGGAUCAAAAUACAGUUAUGGUCUUUAAGAGGAGCAGAAUGGGAAGACAGGUUUAGAAAUCAGUGUAUAAACAGCCUCAAAUUGGAGAUGCCAAGGUAAAGUUUAUUCUAGGACAAAAUAUUUUAAAAAACAGUGAGUACUCCUUGGGUGACAGAACAAGGCCAUGAGCGUCUUACAGGAAUUUAAUUCAGAAGGUAAUGUGAUAAAGAAAAUACUAUUAUAUUUUUUUUAUAUUCAUUACGUAUGUAAAUAUGCAGUGAAUUUAAAACCCACGGAGAGAAGACUGCAAAUGAAAUAUAAGUGGGAAUACAACUACCACCAGCAUAAUCUAUUUUGGAUCUCUUGCAUGCUUUCAACUCACACACACAUCUUAUUAUUUGCACAUCCUGUCUUUAUUUUCCUAAUAACUCUAAUACAAUAUUACCCUGACAAAUGUAAAUUUAUAUCAAUGUUUUAAAUAUAUUUAGGAAGUAAUUCAAUAAUUUUGUUAAAUCCAGAGCAAUAACAUUAAAGACCAUGUUUUCAUGCUGGUGGUGCUUUAAUAUAAUUUGUCCCAAGCACAAUAAAUCAAAAUAUGUUCUCUGAAAUACCAUACUAAUGUUCUCAAACACAGUAGAUAAAAUGUCUCCUCCCCAACUUUGUAAGUAACCUGUUUUUAUUACUCCUUGCAAAUGCUAAUGAUUUUGUAAAGAACAAUGUAAAAAUACCACUGGCAAAACCAAUUUAAAUAUCACUGCUUACAAAUCUUGUGUUCUAACUACUUCCUGCAAUAAAUGUAUCACAUGAGCAAUAAUAAAUGUUUACAUAGCAACAAAGUGCCUUUGCUAGUGAUCAUCAAACAGCAAGCUGCCACCUGCUUUCAGACCAAAUAAUGCCUGGGCAUUGCAAAAAGUCAUGUGAAGAAUUUAAGUACUCAACUCUCACUUGAGAGUGAGUUAUUUGCUACUUACAGAAAUAGAGCCAGUAUAGUUUUGCAGAACAGGGGAUGAAAAGUUUGACAUUUUUCCAACAGUGUCCCCUACACUGCUCACUGACAUUUAGGUGAUGUUGGAUCUAUACGGAUCUACAAAGAACCAAAAUGAAAUACUGUUACUGAUGAAAAAAAGAUCUCUGUUCUUUUUCUUUGUUCUUCUCUUCUCUUCUCUUCUCUUCUCUUCUCUUCUCUUCUCUUCUCUUCUCUUCUCUUCUCUUCUCUUCUCUUCUCUUCUCUUCUCUUCUCUUCUCUUCUCUUCUCUUCUCUUCUCUUCUCUUCUCUUCUCUUCUCUUCUCUUCUCUUCUCUUCUCUUCUCUUCUCUUCUCUUCUCUUCUCUUCUCUUCUCUUCUCUUCUCUUCUCUUCUCUUCUCUCCUCUCCUCUCCUCUCCUCUCCUCUCCUCUCCUCUCCUCUCCU